GGUAGCAUUAGAAAAAAUUGUUGUUUAGCGUCUUGAUAUUUGGGGGAUAUUGUUUCUCAUUCCAUCCCAUUCUUCAGUUCAGAACAGAGAUUUACUUCCCUCAAAAAGACAGUUCAGUUCUUAUUACAAUCAGUGACUAACACAAAAUUCAGUGAAACCAGAAAAACCAACAAGUGUAAUAUGCCUCCGUGCAUUCACGCCUCAUGGAACUGAAGUUUGCUGCCUCACAUCCAAGCAGAAGUUUGGGCUCAUUAGGAUUUCUGAGUGUCAAAGCUGUUGCUAAAACACUACAGCGUCAGCAAGAAGCCUGUAACAGCACACUGUCUCGGUAGACAGCAGCUGCUAGUGGUGUGAACACAAAGUUUGGGUGUUUCCCCAGGAAAAAAAAAUAAACCGCCGAUCUUUCCUUCUUUCCCCUCGCCUCUUUCUCCUCAUGUCUAUCCAUUGUAUUGGUGCGUGUCUGCAAUUGUAAAGCUGGUCUGUUUUUAAAAAAGAAGAGUACCUGUGGAUAUAUUUAUUUCAUCUAAAAAAGAAAAUAGCAUAUCUAAAUAUAUAUGAUAGUAUAUUUCAAGACUCUAAGAUCUAUGUUAUAUAAGUUUGUCUACUAAAUUUACGGUAUUAUCUCAAUGAAUAUGUCUUUUUUGUCUGUUUGUCUGUCUCUCCUUGUCUCGAAACCUCCUGCCCAGCUCCCUACCCCCCAGCGAAAACAGAGACCAGUAUGUAACUGUGUUUUUGCUCACUUAAGACCAACCAUCCGCCUCCAUUAGCUAUCUACUGUAGCUAAUGCUAAGAGUUCAACUAAAGUGACAACGUGGAGGGGUGUGCGAGUGUCUUAUGACCGUGUCACUGUAGCAGUGGUGGCGUGUGUUUGUCUACCCAGAGGGGCCUUUAUUUUUGGUUUGGGCUACAGAUUAACGACUAAUUAAACCUUUUAUGGAUACAGCAGCUUUUACCACAACUCUCACUUGUGUAGGGUUCGCAUUGUCGACCCUCUUUUGGGUUCACCGGACCCGCCAGUUUCUACUGUAGUGUACAGUGAGGUGACCUCUUUGAAACACAAUGUAGCGAGCAGCACAGGCUUUUUUGGUUUGUUUCUUUUGCAUCUCUUAGUAGCUGUAUUACUCUUACGAAACAUGCACAGCUACCCCUGCCAACCAACCUAUAUGGUAUAUAUAAGGAAUUUGAUAUAUGUACAUAGUGUGUUGUAUUUGCCACGCUGCUGUGCUGUAAAACAAAAAAAGAAAAAAAGAAUUAUACACUACGAACACACGGUUUCUUUCUUAAUUUUACAAAACUGGUAAAGCUAUUAUGACACAUGUCAGGGGCAGAGCUGAAUCUGCUCACUGGUGUGGUUUCCACUAAGGCCAAAAGUGGCCAAACCAGGGCUUUCAGUUUUUUAAUCAUCACAUUUAACAAAUUAAAUAACAAAAACACUCAGUAUCCCCACUUUUUUCCAGCAGGGAAUUGGCUAGAACAUGGAAACAACAUUUCCUGAGGUCUUUCCUUGUGCCCAAUUUGUUCAUACAUGUGUUUACAGUACUUUAAAUCCAUGAUAAGUUGGUAUGGUCGAAUAUAAAUCCUUUUCCCAAACAGCUUUUAACGAUAUUUGAAGCAUUUAGUGGUUCUGAGCCCUGGCAAGCCCAGUUUUAGCCUGCAGUGGAAGCACAUCCACAGUUUUUGCCUGUACGCCUCUGAACAAUGUCUCAAGGCCUUGUAUUAAUUCUGCUGUAUUGACUGACUGUAUGGGAUGAUGGCUGGUUGUACUGCAUUCUAUUGUCAGCACCUCUCACUCACACACACACACACACACACACACACACACACACACACAAACACAGUCAGACUCACAUAUACACACAUACACACAGAUGUGGUAUGAUGCCGCCACCACCCUGCUUUAGCCACAUCUGCCAGCAGUGAUGACAAUACUGUGCUGUACUACAAGCAGGAUGAAAAUAAAAAGAUGAUUUUAAUAAAGAACUCAAGUGACUGAGUUUUAUUU
Molecule: long non-coding RNA, 2002 nt
Organism: Amphiprion ocellaris (clown anemonefish)
Lineage: Eukaryota; Metazoa; Chordata; Actinopteri; Pomacentridae
Source: Ensembl